Molecule: ribosomal RNA, 603 nt
Filed under: Graphium basitruncatum
Lineage: Eukaryota; Fungi; Ascomycota; Sordariomycetes; Microascales; Graphiaceae
Description: eukaryotic LSU rRNA
Rfam family: Eukaryotic large subunit ribosomal RNA
Source: RNAcentral
GCAUAUCAAUAAGCGGAGGAAAAGAAACCAACAGGGAUUGCCCCAGUAACGGCGAGUGAAGCGGCAACAGCUCAAAUUUGAAAUCUGGCCCCCCGGCCCGAGUUGUAAUUUGCAGAGGAUGCUCUUGGCAAGGCACCGUCCGAGUUCCCUGGAACGGGACGCCACAGAGGGUGAGAGCCCCGUAUGGACGAGCGCCGCGCCGCUGUAGAGCUCCUUCGACGAGUCGAGUAGUUUGGGAAUGCUGCUCUAAAUGGGAGGUAAAUCUCUUCUAAAGCUAAAUACUGGCCACAGACCGAUAGCGCACAAGUAGAGUGAUCGAAAGAUGAAAAGCACUUUGAAAAGAGAGUUAAACAGCACGUGAAAUUGUUGAAAGGGAAGCGCUCAUGACCAGACUUGCGCCUGGCGGAUCAUCCGGCGUUCUCGCCGGUGCACUCCGCCAGGCUCAGGCCAGCAUCGGUUCGCUGUCGGGGAGAAAGGCGAGGGGAAUGUGGCUCUUCGGAGUGUUAUAGCCCCCCGCGCAAUACCCUUCGGCGGACCGAGGUUCGCGCAUCUGCAUGGAUGCUGGCGUAAUGGUCAUCAGCGACCCGUCUUGAAACACGGACC